GAUGAACGCUAGCUACAGGCUUAACACAUGCAAGUCGAGGGGUAGCAGGGUAGCAAUACCGCUGACGACCGGCGCACGGGUGAGUAACACGUAUCCAACCUUCCCAUGACUCAGGGAUAGCCUUUCGAAAGAAAGAUUAAUACCUGAUAGUACUUAUUUAAGGCAUCUUUUAUAAGUUAAAGAUUUAUCGGUUAUGGAGUGGGGAUGCGUUCCAUUAGAUUGUUGGUGAGGUAACGGCUCACCAAGUCUUCGAUGGAUAGGGGUUCUGAGAGGAACGGUCCCCCACAUUGGUACUGAGACACGGACCAAACUCCUACGGGAGGCAGCAGUGAGGAAUAUUGGUCAAUGGGCGAGAGCCUGAACCAGCCAAGUAGCGUGAAGGAUGAAGGUCCUAUGGAUUGUAAACUUCUUUUAUAGUAGAAUAAAGUGAUCCACGUGUGGUAUUUUUGUAUGUAUACUAUGAAUAAGGAUCGGCUAACUCCGUCCAGCAGCCGACGGUAAACAUACUCGUA
RNAcentral lists this ribosomal RNA (512 nucleotides) under uncultured bacterium. Its description in RNAcentral is "bacterial SSU rRNA". It matches the Rfam family "Bacterial small subunit ribosomal RNA", at positions 28 to 532 of the family's 1533-position model. The record is from RNAcentral.